UGCAGUCGAACGAUGAUCCCAGCUUGCUGGGGGAUUAGUGGCGAACGGGUGAGUAACACGUGAGUAACCUGCCCUUAACUCUGGGAUAAGCCUGGGAAACUGGGUCUAAUACCGGAUAUGACUCCUCAUCGCAUGGUGGGGGGUGGAAAGCUUUUUGUGGUUUUGGAUGGACUCGCGGCCUAUCAGCUUGUUGGUGAGGUAAUGGCUCACCAAGGCGACGACGGGUAGCCGGCCUGAGAGGGUGACCGGCCACACUGGGACUGAGACACGGCCCAGACUCCUACGGGAGGCAGCAGUGGGGAAUAUUGCACAAUGGGCGAAAGCCUGAUGCAGCGACGCCGCGUGAGGGAUGACGGCCUUCGGGUUGUAAACCUCUUUCAGUAGGGAAGAAGCGAAAGUGACGGUACCUGCAGAAGAAGCGCCGGCUAACUACGUGCCAGCAGCCGCGGUAAUACGUAGGGCGCAAGCGUUAUCCGGAAUUAUUGGGCGUAAAGAGCUCGUAGGCGGUUUGUCGCGUCUGCCGUGAAAGUCCGGGGCUCAACUCCGGAUCUGCGGUGGGUACGGGCAGACUAGAGUGAUGUAGGGGAGACUGGAAUUCCUGGUGUAGCGGUGAAAUGCGCAGAUAUCAGGAGGAACACCGAUGGCGAAGGCAGGUCUCUGGGCAUUAACUGACGCUGAGGAGCGAAAGCAUGGGGAGCGAACAGGAUUAGAUACCCUGGUAGUCCAUGCCGUAAACGUUGGGCACUAGGUGUGGGGGACAUUCCACGUUUUCCGCGCCGUAGCUAACGCAUUAAGUGCCCCGCCUGGGGAGUACGGCCGCAAGGCUAAAACUC
This 833-nucleotide ribosomal RNA is filed under the name Pseudarthrobacter scleromae. Its description in RNAcentral is "bacterial SSU rRNA". It matches the Rfam family "Bacterial small subunit ribosomal RNA", at positions 56 to 902 of the family's 1533-position model. The record is from RNAcentral. Lineage: Bacteria; Bacillati; Actinomycetota; Actinomycetes; Micrococcales; Micrococcaceae.